AGUGAACGCUGGCGGUAGGCCUAACACAUGCAAGUCGAACGGCAGCACAGUAAGAGCUUGCUCUUACGGGUGGCGAGUGGCGGACGGGUGAGGAAUACAUCGGAAUCUACUUUUUCGUGGGGGAUAACGUAGGGAAACUUACGCUAAUACCGCAUACGACCUACGGGUGAAAGCAGGGGAUCUUCGGACCUUGCGCGAUUGAAUGAGCCGAUGUCGGAUUAGCUAGUUGGCGGGGUAAAGGCCCACCAAGGCGACGAUCCGUAGCUGGUCUGAGAGGAUGAUCAGCCACACUGGAACUGAGACACGGUCCAGACUCCUACGGGAGGCAGCAGUGGGGAAUAUUGGACAAUGGGCGCAAGCCUGAUCCAGCCAUACCGCCUGGGUGAAGAAGGCCUUCGGGUUGUAAAGCCCUUUUGUUGGGAAAGAAAAGCAGCAGGUUAAUACCCCGCUGUUCUGACGGUACCCAAAGAAUAAGCACCGGCUAACUUCGUG
Molecule: ribosomal RNA, 492 nt
Filed under: uncultured bacterium
Lineage: Bacteria
Description: partial 16S ribosomal RNA
Rfam family: Bacterial small subunit ribosomal RNA
Source: RNAcentral